UGGAGCUUAAAGCCAUGUAACCAUAUUUUUUUUGUAUGUGAAAUAUAUGGUUUUGCAGUGUUAGUUUUUGCAGUUCCUUGCAAUUAUGCAUACAAGAGAGAAAUUAACUUUGUGUAUUUCUUUGUCUGUAUUAAUACGUGGCUACAUAUCAUAGUCUUAGGAGAAUUUAUAGUCUCUCAUAUCUUAAAUAGACAACAGCAUUUCCAAUAUAAGCUGCAUCAAAAAGAAAGAUAGCAAUGUUUAUCUGGAACUAUUACUAAGAUCUUAUUUAGCUAACAGAUGACGUCUUCAUGAGCUGCAAUCCUGCCGUUGCCUCUUAUGCAGGAAGAGGCAAACUGCAGUACAAUCAUCCACCUUGGAACCUGGAAACUUCUUCUUCCAUGUGGCUACAGCAGCCUCCACCACUGCCUUCGCUGCCGCUUGUUCGCUAUCUGCCGCCCACACAAUGGAUGCAACUUUAUUGUUACUAAGCACAUCCCACACCCCGUCAGUUGCUAGAAUGAUGAACUGGUCGGUAGGUGCUAAUCGGUGAUAAGAGAUCUCCGGUAAUGCAAUUAUUCCAUGGUUUUUGAGUAGGAAAUCUCCAAAAGCUCGAGACAUGGCUAGGCCUGGAGAGUCUUCAUGGGGUAGCCACACUCUAUGGAUGUGUGGUUCUUCCUUCAGGGCAAGCACUCUACCAUUACAAUUCCUUAUUCUAUCAGCUUCACUUGGUACAUUAGGCUUCAAAUCUGUGGUUAAUUGAACAAGCAUGAUUCCAUUCUCAUUGAUUGUACCCAACACUGCCCUUGAGUCUCCAAGAUUAGCUAUAACAAGAUCUUCUCCCUGUCUCACAACAACUACUGCUGUGGUUCCACUGCAAGAACAAUCUAAAUUCUCUUGAAGCUUGAGCUCCUUGUCCAUAGCCUUGAAGGCACUAACACAAGCUUCUUUCCAUAUAUAAAAAUUCUUGCUUGGUAAUGAAUCACCUUUAACUACUUCAUUUUUGCCAUCUGCAACUGUCUUCAUCUUAGCCAAGGCCUUCUUUUGGGUUAGUAACAGGGAUGGCAAGCAGUUUCUCACAAUCUUGCUCACUAUGUGGCCAUUCUUUCCAUGCCCAUCAAAAACUCCACAGAAAGCUCCAUCUUGGACACCAUAACCCUGAUGAAGAAUAGCAGCAUCUUGGUUUAACCCUUUGCUUCCUUCUCUGGAGCAAAGAGAACCAAGCCUCUCAGUUCCAUUAAAAGUAAUAUUUUCUUCCAAGUAUAUAAUAUUAUCAAGGCCAUCUUCUGCCAGAUAUAUCUCUGAAGAUGCAGAGGAUAUGCAGAUUCCCAUUUCAACUUGUACAAGUUUUCUUAUUUCUCCACCAACUUAUUAAACUCCAAUGACCAAUGAAUUAGUCUCCUUAAUCAUGAAUUUAAGGACCACAAGAUGCGCAUGUUAGCCAAGUAAUGAAUACAUUUAAGCUUAGAAAGUAGCUCCUAGUGAGCUGAAAGCACAACCUGCUUCAAUAAUUCACUGUUUUUUAAUGUUGUGUUUGUGUAUUAUUUUAGACUACCCCAAGAUUCACUUAAAGAGGCAUAUGAUGUGUAGGAUUAGCAUCUUAUUGUAAAA
RNAcentral lists this unclassified non-coding RNA (1590 nucleotides) under Hevea brasiliensis (rubber tree). The record is from RNAcentral. Lineage: Eukaryota; Viridiplantae; Streptophyta; Magnoliopsida; Malpighiales; Euphorbiaceae.